GACGAACGCUGGCGGCGUGCUUAACACAUGCAAGUCGAACGGUAAGGCCCCUUCGGGGAUACACGAGUGGCGAACGGGUGAGUAACACGUGAGCAACCUGCCCUUGACUUCGGAAUACCAGCUGGAAACAGCUGCUAAUACCGGAUAUGACCUCGGCCCUCAUGGGUUGGGGUGGAAAGCUCCGGCGGUCAAGGAUGGGCUCGCGGCCUAUCAGCUUGUUGGUGAGGUAAUGGCUCACCAAGGCUUCGACGGGUAGCCGGCCUGAGAGGGCGACCGGCCACACUGGGACUGAGAUACGGCCCAGACUCCUACGGGAGGCAGCAGUGGGGAAUAUUGCACAAUGGGCGCAAGCCUGAUGCAGCAACGCCGCGUGCGGGAUGACGGCCU
RNAcentral lists this ribosomal RNA (387 nucleotides) under uncultured bacterium. RNAcentral describes it as "bacterial SSU rRNA". It matches the Rfam family "Bacterial small subunit ribosomal RNA", at positions 28 to 417 of the family's 1533-position model. The record is from RNAcentral.